GGCAGGCUUAACACAUGCAAGUCGAACGCAUCCUUCGGGGUGAGUGGCAGACGGGUGAGUAACGCGUGGGAACGUGCCCUUCAGUUCGGAAUAACCCAGGGAAACUUGGGCUAAUACCGGAUACGUGCGAGAGCAGAAAGAUUUAUCGCUGAAGGAUCGGCCCGCGUCUGAUUAGCUAGUUGGUGAGGUAAUGGCUCACCAAGGCGACGAUCAGUAGCUGGUCUGAGAGGAUGAUCAGCCACAUUGGGACUGAGACACGGCCCAAACUCCUACGGGAGGCAGCAGUGGGGAAUAUUGGACAAUGGGCGCAAGCCUGAUCCAGCCAUGCCGCGUGAGUGAUGAAGGCCUUAGGGUUGUAAAGCUCUUUCGUCCGGGACGAUAAUGACGGUACCGGAAGAAGAAGCCCCGGCUAACUUCGUGCCAGCAGCCGCGGUAAUACGAAGGGGGCUAGCGUUGUUCGGAAUCACUGGGCGUAAAGGGCGCGUAGGCGGCUUGAUAAGUCGGGGGUGAAAGCCUGUGGCUCAACCACAGAAUUGCCUUCGAUACUGUCUGGCUUGAGACCGGAAGAGGUAAGUGGAACUGCGAGUGUAGAGGUGAAAUUCGUAGAUAUUCGCAAGAACACCAGUGGCGAAGGCGGCUUACUGGUCCGGUUCUGACGCUGAGGCGCG
RNAcentral lists this ribosomal RNA (668 nucleotides) under Microvirga aerilata. RNAcentral's name for it is "bacterial SSU rRNA". It matches the Rfam family "Bacterial small subunit ribosomal RNA", at positions 41 to 755 of the family's 1533-position model. The record is from RNAcentral. Lineage: Bacteria; Pseudomonadati; Pseudomonadota; Alphaproteobacteria; Hyphomicrobiales; Methylobacteriaceae. RNAcentral also lists the same sequence under 1 other name.